GUUGUUUCCGGCGCCGGAUUGGCCGAAGACGAAGUUGUCGGGGCGGAAGAUCUGGCCGAAGGGGCCCGAGCGCACGGAGUCCAUGGUCCCCGGCUCGAGGUCCAUGAGGACGGCGCGCGGGACGUAGCGUCCGCCGCUGGCCUCGUUGUAGUAGACGUUGAUGCGCUCGAGCUGGAGGUCGGAGUCGCCGGCGUACUUGCCGGUGUGGUCGAUGCCGUGCUCGUCGCAGAUCACCUCCCAGAACUUGGCCCCGAUCUGGUUCCCGCACUGCCCGCCC
RNAcentral lists this long non-coding RNA (277 nucleotides) under Sorghum bicolor (sorghum). RNAcentral describes it as "long non-coding RNA (SBIC_LNC018334)". The record is from RNAcentral. Lineage: Eukaryota; Viridiplantae; Streptophyta; Magnoliopsida; Poales; Poaceae.